Molecule: ribosomal RNA, 250 nt
Filed under: uncultured bacterium
Lineage: Bacteria
Description: partial 16S ribosomal RNA
Rfam family: Bacterial small subunit ribosomal RNA
Source: RNAcentral
GACAGAGGGUGCAAGCGUUAAUCGGAAUUACUGGGCGUAAAGCGCUCGUAGGUGGUUUAUCAAGCUAGAUGUAAAAGCCCCGGGCUUAACCUGGGAAGGACAUUUAGGACUGUUAGACUAGAGUGGGGUAGAGGUAAGUGGAAUUUCCGGUGUAGCGGUGAAAUGCGUAGAUAUCGGAAGGAACACCAGUGGCGAAGGCGGCUUACUGGACCCUAACUGACACUGAGGAGCGAAAGCGUGGGUAGCAAAC